Molecule: long non-coding RNA, 2123 nt
Organism: Oncorhynchus nerka (sockeye salmon)
Lineage: Eukaryota; Metazoa; Chordata; Actinopteri; Salmoniformes; Salmonidae
Exons: 4
Source: RefSeq, a predicted model, not a curated record
GUUCUUCUGGGCUAUCUGGCAGAGCACAGGGAGAGGCCACUACUUAUACAGGUGAGUGUACAACAACGUCUUUACUGUUGUGAUGAUUUAUGUGUAUUUAUGACAAUGUUGUUAACUGUGUGUGCGUGCGUGCGUGCGUGAGUGAGUGCGUGCGUGCGUGAGUGAGUCCAGGGGCUGCAGUUGCUGUGCCAGAGCUGGAUAGAUAUAUCAGCUGACCAGGAGACGAGCCAUGCUGUUUGGAGGCCUUCCUCUCCUCUGAGGGUGGAGCUCAGUCUGAGAGCUGUUGAGGGACUGGUUAGGAAGAACACUUCUACACCCCGAGAGUGCUUAUGCAUUUUUGGUGGCCUGACUGCAUCCAGACUAUGUCAAAUUCCGAACACAAUUCCCUCCCUGGCAGAUAUGAACUUAAUGCGAGUACAAUGUGACUUUCGUGCAUCCAGACCUAAUGCAGCUUGGAGUGAUUGGAAGACAGAAGUCGCAUUUAAGUGCUUGGUGUAACCGAGGCCAUACAGCAGACGCACCAUAUCCAUUACUUUGAGAGUUUGAUUUAAUAUAACUGUUUGUGUUUGUAUUGCAAGGCCACAAAGCAUGCCCCUGGUAGAGCCAGGGGCGCUGUUUACCAAGCCACCACCACACGCCUUCAGCAGGCCGGAAAAGUGGGAUUAAUCUAUUUGUCUUUGUUUGAUCCAUUUGUUUGUUUCAGUUUUCGUAGUUGAAUACUUUGACCUAAUUUUCAACAAAAAUGCACUGAAUAGGUAGAAAAGUGAUACUAAACUUAAUUACCAUGCACAAUUUUGACAUAGUGGAAGAGAGACUAUAUAUACAAAAGUAUGUGGACACCCCUUUAAAUGAGUGGAUUCAGCUAUUUCCUCCACAACCGUUGCUGACAUAGACCAACAUUGGCAGUAUAAUGGCCUUACUGAGGAGCUCAGGGACUUUCAACGUCAAAUUCCUCCCCUACUAGAGUUGCCCCGGUCAACUGUAAGUGCUGUUAUUGUGAAGUGGAAACGUCUAGGAACAUCAACGGUUCAGCUGCAAAGUGGUAGGCCACACAAGCUCACAGAAUGGGACAGGCAGGUGCUAAAGUGCGUAAAAAUUGUCUGCCCAUGUUUACAACACUCAGUACCGAGUUCCAAACUGCCUCUGGAAGCAAUGUCAGCACAAAAACUGUUUGUUGGGAGCUUCAUGAAAUGGGUUUCCAUGGCCGAGCAGCCGCACACAAGCCUAAGAUCACCAUGCGCAAUGCCAAGAGUUGGCUGGAGUGGUGUAAAGCUCACCGCUAUUACACUCUGGAGCAAUGGAAAUGCAUUCUCUGGAGUGAUUAAUCAUUCUUUACCAUCUGCCAGUCAAAAGGACAAAUCUGUGUUUGGCGGUGUGGAAGAACUUGACUAACCUGCACAGAGCCCUGACCUCAAACCCAUCAAACACCUUAGGUAUGAAUUGAAUGCCAACUGCGAGCUAAGCCUAAUCGCCCGACCUCACUAAUGCUCUUGUGGCUGAAUGGAAGCAAGUCCUCGCAGAAAUGCUCCAACAUCUAGUGGAAAGCCUUCCCAUCAGAGUUGUCCACAUACUUUUGGUCAUGUUGUGUACAUACUGAAUUUAUACUGUUUUUCAUACAUAGAUGGACAAAGAUAUGUGUUGCUUUUACACAUAUUUGUAAAUAGGUUUUGCAAGAUUCAGUUCAUUGGGUCCAUUGUUUUUUGCAAUAUGAUGACAUUGGUUAAAAGAGUAAGAAUUUGAUAUAAUAUAAUUGUACAAAAACAUUCUCAGUUGGUUGCAUAAAUAAUGAUGAUUACUAAAUGCUACAUGAAAUGGAAAUAUCAAAACCGAAUAGAAACCUCUUUGUUAAUAUGUUUUGGCAAUAAUUAAUUUAAUGGUGAGGGAUGGAAUAAUAAAAAAUGUAUAUUUUGUCACGCUGGAUGUUUGAAAUAAUAAGUAAGUAUGAUGAUUUGAGACAUGGUUCUUCAGUAGUGGAAUAAAGACAUUUAGCACUUAAGUGUUGUAGAGAAAUACUGUUUGUAAAUACUGGGGUUGUAUGAUUGUUAAUAAAAUUGUACAUAUAGCAAUUUUAAAUAUUGCGUCAUGUGUAUAGGCUGCAAGUACAUUGAAAUUAAGUUGUUUUC